GACAGAGGGUGCAAGCGUUGUUCGGAAUUACUGGGCGUAAAGCGCGUGUAGGCGGCCCUGCAAGUCGGGUGUGAAAUCCCAUGGCUCAACCAUGGAAGUGCACUCGAAACUGCAGGGCUAGAGUCCUGGAGAGGAAGGUGGAAUGCUUGGUGUAGAGGUGAAAUUCGUAGAUAUCAAGCGGAACACCGGUGGCGAAGGCGGCCUUCUGGACAGUGACUGACGCUGAGACGCGAAAGCGUGGGGAGCAAACAGG
Molecule: ribosomal RNA, 253 nt
Filed under: uncultured bacterium
Lineage: Bacteria
Description: partial 16S ribosomal RNA
Rfam family: Bacterial small subunit ribosomal RNA
Source: RNAcentral